This 697-nucleotide unclassified non-coding RNA is filed under the name Viscum triflorum. Its description in RNAcentral is "sequence contains ITS1, 5.8S rRNA gene, ITS2". The stretch from base 288 to 446 matches the Rfam family "5.8S ribosomal RNA". Lineage: Eukaryota; Viridiplantae; Streptophyta; Magnoliopsida; Santalales; Viscaceae. The record is from RNAcentral.
UUUCCGUAGGUGAACCUGCGGAAGGAUCAUUGUCGAAAGCCUGUAGAAUGUCGAUGGACAUGCGGACUUGUAGGAACAUAUGCGUGGGGUGCAUGGGGGGCGUAGCUCGGUCACUAAUGUGCGGUCGAUGGGGAUGUGUCCGGGAGCCCAUGCACACUCCGCUCCGACACUUAAAUCGGCAGAGAACGUGCCAAGGAAGCCCAAUUAGAAAAUCUUUCCCCCCACCCCCUCGCCGCAUGUCGUGCAUGUGGGGGCCGGGGAGGUGGAUUGCGCAACUGUGACAUAACGACUCUCGACAAUGGAUAUCUCGGCUCCCGUAUCUAUGAAGAACGCAGCGAAAUGCGGUACAUGGUGUGAAUUGCAGAAUCUCGUGAAUCAUUGAGUUUUUGAACGCAAGUUGCGCCCGAAGCCUCUUUUUGGCCGAGGGCACGCCUGCCUGGGUGCCGUGCAUGGAGUUGUCCCAGGACCCUCCUCCGGCAGGAGACUCGUUUAUGUUGUGGGUUUUCGGGAGAGAAGGGACCGCCGGGGUUGAUGCUGGUCUUCCGUUCUACGUUGUGCGGUUGGCUUAAAUUCGGGGUCCCAUGCGACAUGCGCUGCGAUGUGUUGGGGAAGACAAUUUUCGUCCCUUGUCGGUUGGUGAGCCACCUGUGGUCCCAUGGCCUCGUUGACACACUGAUGGGGAAGCCAUCCAGGCCCC